RNAcentral lists this ribosomal RNA (370 nucleotides) under uncultured Nectriaceae. RNAcentral's name for it is "eukaryotic LSU rRNA". The stretch from base 3 to 156 matches the Rfam family "5.8S ribosomal RNA". Lineage: Eukaryota; Fungi; Ascomycota; Sordariomycetes; Hypocreales; Nectriaceae. The record is from RNAcentral.
AAAACUUUCAACAACGGAUCUCUUGGUUCUGGCAUCGAUGAAGAACGCAGCGAAAUGCGAUAAGUAAUGUGAAUUGCAGAAUUCAGUGAAUCAUCGAAUCUUUGAACGCACAUUGCGCCCGCUGGUAUUCUGGCGGGCAUGCCUGUCCGAGCGUCAUUUCAACCCUCAAGCCCCCGGGCUUGGUGUUGGGGAUCGGCGAGCCUCCGCGCCCGCCGUCCCCUAAAUCUAGUGGCGGUCUCGCUGUAGCUUCCUCUGCGUAGUAGCACACCUCGCACUGGGAAACAGCGCGGCCACGCCGUUAAACCCCCAACUUCUGAACGUUUGACCUCGGAUCAGGUAGGAAUACCCGCUGAACUUAAGCAUAUCAAUA